Dermochelys coriacea (leatherback sea turtle) is the source of this 194-nucleotide long non-coding RNA. RefSeq lists it as uncharacterized. The transcript is spliced from 3 exons. The record is from RefSeq and is a predicted model, not a curated record. NCBI's taxonomy places the organism in Eukaryota, Metazoa, Chordata, Testudines, Dermochelyidae.
AGACAGAGUCUGUAAGGGUAUGUCUACAGUACGAAAUUAUUUUGAAAUUAUUCUAUUUGGAUUUUCGGAACCUAUUUUAUACUUUCGGUCUUCUGUGUCCCCACUAAAGCGCAUGAAUUCGGCAGAUUGUAUUCACAGUACCAAGGCUAGCGUCGAAUGUCAGAGUGGUGCACUGUGGGUAGCUAUCCCACAGU